UUAAAUGGACAACAGCCGACAAGCAAGCGGGUUUUGAAUUCGCACAUAGUACUUCGGCAAUUUUACAAUAGAAUAAGAGUUGAUGAUGAGGACAAUUUACCUGGCCACCGAAAAUGAAACUCCCAAUUGUAAUUUGACGACAUAGGAUCACUGGUGUCCCAUUUCAAUAAUUUGCCUUUCGAUAAACGUCAAUUAAAAUUUUUUUUAUUAUGCUACA
RNAcentral lists this long non-coding RNA (217 nucleotides) under Citrus maxima (pomelo). RNAcentral describes it as "long non-coding RNA (CMAX_LNC002614)". Lineage: Eukaryota; Viridiplantae; Streptophyta; Magnoliopsida; Sapindales; Rutaceae. The record is from RNAcentral.